AAGGUUUUAAGUUAAUUAAACUAAUAAUCUUCAAAAUUAUAUAUAAAGAAAAUUCUUUAAGCCUUA
This 66-nucleotide transfer RNA is filed under the name Orybina plangonalis. RNAcentral describes it as "tRNA-Trp". The record is from RNAcentral. Lineage: Eukaryota; Metazoa; Arthropoda; Insecta; Lepidoptera; Pyralidae.